GGAUGCAAUCAUACCAGCACUAAUGCACCGGAUCCCAUCAGAACUCCACAGUUAACAUGCUUGGGAGGGAGUAGUACUAGGAUGGGUCACCUCCCGGGAAGUCCUCGUGUUGUAUCUU
Molecule: ribosomal RNA, 118 nt
Organism: Arabidopsis thaliana (thale cress)
Lineage: Eukaryota; Viridiplantae; Streptophyta; Magnoliopsida; Brassicales; Brassicaceae
Source: Rfam